RNAcentral lists this ribosomal RNA (230 nucleotides) under uncultured bacterium. Its description in RNAcentral is "partial 16S ribosomal RNA". It matches the Rfam family "Bacterial small subunit ribosomal RNA", at positions 567 to 791 of the family's 1533-position model. The record is from RNAcentral.
ACGUGCGCAGGCGGUUAGUAUAAGACAGAUGUGAAAUACCCCGGGCCUCAACCUGGGAACUGCAUUUGUGACUGUAUAGCUGGAGUGCGGCAGAGGGGGAUGGAAUUCCGCGUGUAGCAGUGAAAUGCGUAGAUAUGCGGAGGAACACCGAUGGCGAAGGCAAUCCCCUGGGCCUGCACUGACGCUCAUGCACGAAAGCGUGGGGAGCAAACAGGAUUAGAUACCCGAGU